This 2906-nucleotide ribosomal RNA is filed under the name Escherichia coli. RNAcentral describes it as "23S ribosomal RNA". It matches the Rfam family "Bacterial large subunit ribosomal RNA". The record is from RNAcentral. Lineage: Bacteria; Pseudomonadati; Pseudomonadota; Gammaproteobacteria; Enterobacterales; Enterobacteriaceae.
GGUUAAGCGACUAAGCGUACACGGUGGAUGCCCUGGCAGUCAGAGGCGAUGAAGGACGUGCUAAUCUGCGAUAAGCGUCGGUAAGGUGAUAUGAACCGUUAUAACCGGCGAUUUCCGAAUGGGGAAACCCAGUGUGUUUCGACACACUAUCAUUAACUGAAUCCAUAGGUUAAUGAGGCGAACCGGGGGAACUGAAACAUCUAAGUACCCCGAGGAAAAGAAAUCAACCGAGAUUCCCCCAGUAGCGGCGAGCGAACGGGGAGGAGCCCAGAGCCUGAAUCAGUGUGUGUGUUAGUGGAAGCGUCUGGAAAGGCGCGCGAUACAGGGUGACAGCCCCGUACACAAAAAUGCACAUACUGUGAGCUCGAUGAGUAGGGCGGGACACGUGGUAUCCUGUCUGAAUAUGGGGGGACCAUCCUCCAAGGCUAAAUACUCCUGACUGACCGAUAGUGAACCAGUACCGUGAGGGAAAGGCGAAAAGAACCCCGGCGAGGGGAGUGAAAAAGAACCUGAAACCGUGUACGUACAAGCAGUGGGAGCACAGAGCAAUCUGUGUGACUGCGUACCUUUUGUAUAAUGGGUCAGCGACUUAUAUUCUGUAGCAAGGUUAACCGAAUAGGGGAGCCGAAGGGAAACCGAGUCUUAACUGGGCGUUAAGUUGCAGGGUAUAGACCCGAAACCCGGUGAUCUAGCCAUGGGCAGGUUGAAGGUUGGGUAACACUAACUGGAGGACCGAACCGACUAAUGUUGAAAAAUUAGCGGAUGACUUGUGGCUGGGGGUGAAAGGCCAAUCAAACCGGGAGAUAGCUGGUUCUCCCCGAAAGCUAUUUAGGUAGCGCCUCGUGAAUUCAUCUCCGGGGGUAGAGCACUGUUUCGGCAAGGGGGUCAUCCCGACUUACCAACCCGAUGCAAACUGCGAAUACCGGAGAAUGUUAUCACGGGAGACACACGGCGGGUGCUAACGUCCGUCGUGAAGAGGGAAACAACCCAGACCGCCAGCUAAGGUCCCAAAGUCAUGGUUAAGUGGGAAACGAUGUGGGAAGGCCCAGACAGCCAGGAUGUUGGCUUAGAAGCAGCCAUCAUUUAAAGAAAGCGUAAUAGCUCACUGGUCGAGUCGGCCUGCGCGGAAGAUGUAACGGGGCUAAACCAUGCACCGAAGCUGCGGCAGCGACGCUUAUGCGUUGUUGGGUAGGGGAGCGUUCUGUAAGCCUGCGAAGGUGUGCUGUGAGGCAUGCUGGAGGUAUCAGAAGUGCGAAUGCUGACAUAAGUAACGAUAAAGCGGGUGAAAAGCCCGCUCGCCGGAAGACCAAGGGUUCCUGUCCAACGUUAAUCGGGGCAGGGUGAGUCGACCCCUAAGGCGAGGCCGAAAGGCGUAGUCGAUGGGAAACAGGUUAAUAUUCCUGUACUUGGUGUUACUGCGAAGGGGGGACGGAGAAGGCUAUGUUGGCCGGGCGACGGUUGUCCCGGUUUAAGCGUGUAGGCUGGUUUUCCAGGCAAAUCCGGAAAAUCAAGGCUGAGGCGUGAUGACGAGGCACUACGGUGCUGAAGCAACAAAUGCCCUGCUUCCAGGAAAAGCCUCUAAGCAUCAGGUAACAUCAAAUCGUACCCCAAACCGACACAGGUGGUCAGGUAGAGAAUACCAAGGCGCUUGAGAGAACUCGGGUGAAGGAACUAGGCAAAAUGGUGCCGUAACUUCGGGAGAAGGCACGCUGAUAUGUAGGUGAAGCGACUUGCUCGUGGAGCUGAAAUCAGUCGAAGAUACCAGCUGGCUGCAACUGUUUAUUAAAAACACAGCACUGUGCAAACACGAAAGUGGACGUAUACGGUGUGACGCCUGCCCGGUGCCGGAAGGUUAAUUGAUGGGGUCAGCGCAAGCGAAGCUCUUGAUCGAAGCCCCGGUAAACGGCGGCCGUAACUAUAACGGUCCUAAGGUAGCGAAAUUCCUUGUCGGGUAAGUUCCGACCUGCACGAAUGGCGUAAUGAUGGCCAGGCUGUCUCCACCCGAGACUCAGUGAAAUUGAACUCGCUGUGAAGAUGCAGUGUACCCGCGGCAAGACGGAAAGACCCCGUGAACCUUUACUAUAGCUUGACACUGAACAUUGAGCCUUGAUGUGUAGGAUAGGUGGGAGGCUUAGAAGUGUGGACGCCAGUCUGCAUGGAGCCGACCUUGAAAUACCACCCUUUAAUGUUUGAUGUUCUAACGUUGACCCGUAAUCCGGGUUGCGGACAGUGUCUGGUGGGUAGUUUGACUGGGGCGGUCUCCUCCUAAAGAGUAACGGAGGAGCACGAAGGUUGGCUAAUCCUGGUCGGACAUCAGGAGGUUAGUGCAAUGGCAUAAGCCAGCUUGACUGCGAGCGUGACGGCGCGAGCAGGUGCGAAAGCAGGUCAUAGUGAUCCGGUGGUUCUGAAUGGAAGGGCCAUCGCUCAACGGAUAAAAGGUACUCCGGGGAUAACAGGCUGAUACCGCCCAAGAGUUCAUAUCGACGGCGGUGUUUGGCACCUCGAUGUCGGCUCAUCACAUCCUGGGGCUGAAGUAGGUCCCAAGGGUAUGGCUGUUCGCCAUUUAAAGUGGUACGCGAGCUGGGUUUAGAACGUCGUGAGACAGUUCGGUCCCUAUCUGCCGUGGGCGCUGGAGAACUGAGGGGGGCUGCUCCUAGUACGAGAGGACCGGAGUGGACGCAUCACUGGUGUUCGGGUUGUCAUGCCAAUGGCACUGCCCGGUAGCUAAAUGCGGAAGAGAUAAGUGCUGAAAGCAUCUAAGCACGAAACUUGCCCCGAGAUGAGUUCUCCCUGACUCCUUGAGAGUCCUGAAGGAACGUUGAAGACGACGACGUUGAUAGGCCGGGUGUGUAAGCGCAGCGAUGCGUUGAGCUAACCGGUACUAAUGAACCGUGAGGCUUAACCUU